CCUACGGGAGGCUGCAGUGAGGAAUAUUGGUCAAUGGCCGCAGGGCUGAACCAGCCAAGUCGCGUGAGGGAUGACGGUCCUAUGGAUUGUAAACCUCUUUUGUCAGGGAGCAAAGGGCGCCACGUGUGGCGCUUUGCGAGUACCUGAAGAAAAAGCAUCGGCUAACUCCGUGCCAGCAGCCGCGGUAAUACGGAGGAUGCGAGCGUUAUCCGGAUUUAUUGGGUUUAAAGGGUGCGCAGGCGGAAUGUCAAGUCAGCGGUAAAAUUUCGGGGCUCAACCCCGUCGUGCCGUUGAAACUGGCGUUCUUGAGUGGGCGAGAAGUAUGCGGAAUGCGUGGUGUAGCGGUGAAAUGCAUAGAUAUCACGCAGAACUCCGAUUGCGAAGGCAGCAUACCGGCUUCCGACUGACGCUGAGGCACGAAAGCGUGGGGAUCGAACAGGAUUAGAUACCCCGGUAGUC
This 459-nucleotide ribosomal RNA is filed under the name uncultured bacterium. RNAcentral's name for it is "partial 16S ribosomal RNA". It matches the Rfam family "Bacterial small subunit ribosomal RNA", at positions 338 to 795 of the family's 1533-position model. The record is from RNAcentral.